CAGUCAUGAAAAGCACCUUCACAGCAGAUUGAGUAUGUUAUGACAGUUUGAAGGGCUAUAGGCUGCUUUGUUAUCUUCUGAGCAAUAACUAGCAAUUUUGGCACCUACGGCAACCAAAGUGGAAAGAGUAUGGGAAAGAAGGAAGCAUGAUUUUGGACACUGAAAGAUUUUAGGAUGGAGCUGGAGAGCAUCUAAUUAAGACAACAGCCUCAAGAACUGACUUAAUGAUGCAAGGAUGUUAAGCAUGGAGAAGAUGAUGCUGCUGGAGGUGGAGGAAGGGGAAAGUCACAAUUGCUAUCUCUGGUGCAAGGAUUAGAU
Molecule: long non-coding RNA, 318 nt
Filed under: Sarcophilus harrisii (Tasmanian devil)
Lineage: Eukaryota; Metazoa; Chordata; Mammalia; Dasyuromorphia; Dasyuridae
Description: lncRNA (ENSSHAG00000026390.1)
Source: RNAcentral